Molecule: ribosomal RNA, 253 nt
Filed under: uncultured bacterium
Lineage: Bacteria
Description: partial 16S ribosomal RNA
Rfam family: Bacterial small subunit ribosomal RNA
Source: RNAcentral
UACAGAGGUCCCGAGCGUUGUUCGGAUUCAUUGGGCGUAAAGGGUGCGUAGGCGGUCUUCUAAGUUUGAUGUGAAAUCCCGGGGCUCAACCCUGGAAUUGCAUUGAAUACUGGAGGACUUGAGUCCCGGAGAGGAAACUGGAAUUUACGGUGUAGCAGUGAAAUGCGUAGAGAUCGUAAGGAAGACCAGUGGCGAAGGCGAGUUUCUGGACGGGUACUGACGCUGAGGCACGAAGGCCAGGGGAGCAAACGGG